Molecule: long non-coding RNA, 245 nt
Organism: Sinocyclocheilus anshuiensis
Lineage: Eukaryota; Metazoa; Chordata; Actinopteri; Cypriniformes; Cyprinidae
Exons: 3
Source: RefSeq, a predicted model, not a curated record
UUGGAACAACUUGAGGAUGGUCUUUGGAGAUUGCAUUAAAGUUGCAUUAAAACCCUGACGUCCUCCUUCAUUGCCAUACAAAGUGGGUUGGAACAAAUUUCAUUCUGUAUUUGGAGGAGGAGGAGGAGGAGCAACAAAGGCGAUACCCUCAUGUCCUGCAGUUUUGGGAUAAAAUCCAUCCUUCAUUAUUGUGGGAGAAAUGGCACUGAAGCAAGACCGUCUUUUUACAAGCAGUUGAUACAUGG